CGGACGGGUGGAGUAACGCGUGGAAAACCUGCCGUAUACUGGGGGAUAACACUUAGAAAUAGGUGCUAAUACCGCAUAAGCGCACAGCUUCGCAUGAAGCGGUGUGAAAAACUCUGGUGGUAUACGAUGGUUCCGCGUCUGAUUAGCUAGUUGGUGGGGUAAUGGCCUACCAAGGCAACGAUCAGUAGCCGACCUGAGAGGGUGAACGGCCACAUUGGGACUGAGACACGGCCCAAACUCCUACGGGAGGCAGCAG
Molecule: ribosomal RNA, 256 nt
Filed under: uncultured bacterium
Lineage: Bacteria
Description: partial 16S ribosomal RNA
Rfam family: Bacterial small subunit ribosomal RNA
Source: RNAcentral